RNAcentral lists this transfer RNA (72 nucleotides) under Ictidomys tridecemlineatus (thirteen-lined ground squirrel). Its description in RNAcentral is "Spermophilus tridecemlineatus (thirteen-lined ground squirrel) tRNA". It matches the Rfam family "tRNA". Rfam says of the family: Transfer RNA (tRNA) molecules are approximately 80 nucleotides in length. Their secondary structure includes four short double-helical elements and three loops (D, anti-codon, and T loops). RNAcentral also lists the same sequence under 1 other name. The record is from Rfam by way of RNAcentral. Lineage: Eukaryota; Metazoa; Chordata; Mammalia; Rodentia; Sciuridae.
GGGAAUGUAACUCAGUUAUAGAGUGCUUGCCUAGCAUACCUGAGGUCCUGGGUUCUAUCCCCAGCAUAUCUC